UCUCCGUAGGUGAACCUGCGGAGGGAUCAUUACAGAGUUCGUGCCCUCGCGGGUAGAUCUCCCACCCUGUGUUAUUGCUACCUUUGUUGCUUUGGCGGGCCGCCCUCGGCUACCGGCCCCGGCUGGUACGCGCCCGCCAGAGGACCCCAAACCCUGAACGUCAGUGUCGGCUGAGUACUCUAUAAUAGUUAAAAAUUUCAACAACGGAUCUCUUGGUUUUGGCGUCGUUGAAGAACGCAGCAGAACGGAAGAGCACACAUCUGCAAUCCAGCCA
RNAcentral lists this unclassified non-coding RNA (274 nucleotides) under plant metagenome. RNAcentral describes it as "partial contains small subunit ribosomal RNA, internal transcribed spacer 1, and 5.8S ribosomal RNA". The record is from RNAcentral.